CCUACGGGAGGCAGCAGUGAGGAAUAUUGGUCAAUGGGCGCGAGCCUGAACCAGCCAAGUAGCGUGAAGGAUGACUGCCCUACGGGUUGUAAACUUCUUUUAUAAAGGAAUAAAGUGAGGCACGUGUGCCUUUUUGUAUGUACUUUAUGAAUAAGGAUCGGCUAACUCCGUGCCAGCAGCCGCGGUAAUACGGAGGAUCCGAGCGUUAUCCGGAUUUAUUGGGUUUAAAGGGAGCGUAGAUGGGUUGUUAAGUCAGUUGUGAAAGUUUGCGGCUCAACCGUAAAAUUGCAAUUGAUACUGGCAGCCUUGAGUACAGUUGAGGUAGGCGGAAUUCGUGGUGUAGCGGUGAAAUGCUUAGAUAUCACGAAGAACUCCGAUUGCGAAGGCAGUUCACUGGACUGUAACUGACGUUGAGGCUCGAAAGCGUGGGGAGCAAACAGGAUUAGAUACCCUGGUAGUC
RNAcentral lists this ribosomal RNA (460 nucleotides) under uncultured bacterium. RNAcentral describes it as "partial 16S ribosomal RNA". It matches the Rfam family "Bacterial small subunit ribosomal RNA", at positions 338 to 795 of the family's 1533-position model. The record is from RNAcentral.